Pan paniscus (pygmy chimpanzee) is the source of this 687-nucleotide long non-coding RNA. The record is from Ensembl. NCBI's taxonomy places the organism in Eukaryota, Metazoa, Chordata, Mammalia, Primates, Hominidae.
UUAUUAAUCAUGUGACAUAGAACUAUUAGUAAAGUCUGAAUCAAAACUUGGAUUUGGUUUUUCUCAUUUUCAAAAUGGUAAUAAGUUGAUUUUGCUUUAAAACAGUAAGUCUGAAAUAACCACAAAAUAGCAAAACACUGUCUCAAAUCCUAAUGUCACAGUUUUCAUUUAUCCUUGGUCAUGGAUAUAGAUCUACGGGGAAAAUUAAUUGUUUCUAUUUAUUCUAUCCUAGUUACAAUAAUCCUUAACUUUAAGUAUUGUACCUCCCUUUUUCUUAGUACUUAGAGUAGAAAACCAGAGAAGCAAAUCCAUUUAUUUUACUAGAAAGAAAAUUCUUACUUGUUUUAUCUAGAACCAUGAAAAAGAAGUGGUAUCACAAAUCUGCUUAGUUUUUUUGGACUUGAAGCGUAGAGUCGAAGGCUUUUGAGAUUCCACAAUGCUUGGAAGAAAAUGUGGAUGUCUCCAGAGAGGCCAUACCUAAUGAGGAGCUCCCAACAAAUGGCAACUGAUGUUACCUACAACCGAAUACGUCAAGAAGGAGCUUUGCCCAUGCGUUCUGCCACCUUCUGCCAGGAAUUACACCUGUCCCACCCCGUCAAGUCUCCUGAAUGUCCAGGUAAAGAUUUAUUUUUCCUUUGGGUCUCAAAAAUGUAUUCUAGUCACCCUUCACUAGAUAUGGAUUCCCUG